UACAGAGGGGGCAAGCGUUGUUCGGAAUUACUGGGCGUAAAGGGCGCGUAGGCGGCCUUCUAAGUCGAACGUGAAAUCCCUGGGCUUAACCCAGGAACUGCGUCCGAGACUGGAAGGCUUGAAUCCGGGAGAGGGAUGCGGAAUUCCAGGUGUAGCGGUGAAAUGCGUAGAUAUCUGGAGGAACACCGGUGGCGAAGGCGGCAUCCUGGACCGGUAUUGACGCUGAGGCGCGAAAGCCAGGGGAGCAAACGGG
RNAcentral lists this ribosomal RNA (253 nucleotides) under uncultured bacterium. RNAcentral describes it as "partial 16S ribosomal RNA". It matches the Rfam family "Bacterial small subunit ribosomal RNA", at positions 524 to 776 of the family's 1533-position model. The record is from RNAcentral.